GACAGAGGAUGCAAACGUUGCUCGGAAUUACUGGGCGUAAAGCGCAUGUAGGCGGUCUUGUAAGUCGGACGUGAAAGCCCGGGGCUCAACCCCGGAAGCGCGCUCGAUACUGCUUGACUUGGGUUCUGAAGAGGAGAGCGGAAUUCCCGGUGUAGAGGUGAAAUUCGUAGAUAUCGGGAGGAACACCAGUGGCGAAGGCGGCUCUCUGGGCAGAUACCGACGCUGAGAUGCGAAAGCGUGGGAAGCAAACAGG
RNAcentral lists this ribosomal RNA (253 nucleotides) under uncultured bacterium. RNAcentral describes it as "partial 16S ribosomal RNA". It matches the Rfam family "Bacterial small subunit ribosomal RNA", at positions 524 to 776 of the family's 1533-position model. The record is from RNAcentral.